GGAGACAGCUCAGUGGUAGAGUGCCUGCCUAGCAUGCACAAGGUCCUGAGUUCAAUCCCCAGUGCCUCCA
This 70-nucleotide transfer RNA is filed under the name Camelus bactrianus (Bactrian camel). It matches the Rfam family "tRNA". From Rfam's summary of the family: Transfer RNA (tRNA) molecules are approximately 80 nucleotides in length. Lineage: Eukaryota; Metazoa; Chordata; Mammalia; Artiodactyla; Camelidae. RNAcentral also lists the same sequence under 2 other names. The record is from Rfam by way of RNAcentral.